RNAcentral lists this long non-coding RNA (278 nucleotides) under Helianthus annuus (common sunflower). RNAcentral's name for it is "sRNA HanXRQr2_Chr01g0044511". The record is from RNAcentral. Lineage: Eukaryota; Viridiplantae; Streptophyta; Magnoliopsida; Asterales; Asteraceae.
UGGACCUUGGAAUCAAUGCACUCCAUAUAAAACUAUGGGCAACUGGAGGUAACAAGACAAAGACACCCGGUCCAGGUGCACAGUUUGCCCUCAGAGCUCUUGCCCGUUCUGGCAUGAAGAUUGGUCACAUUGAGGACGUGACACGAAUUCCAACAGAUAGCACUCGUCGAAAGAGUGGGAGAAGAGGAAGGAGGCUGUGAUAUGUUUUUUGUCUACAAUAUGUUUUCAAUGUAUCUGCAAUUUGGAUUAUGGUUGUCUUCAACUUUUGUAGGUUAUUU